AUUGAACGCUGGCGGCAGGCCUAACACAUGCAAGUCGAGCGGUAGAGAGGUGCUUGCAUCUCUUGAGAGCGGCGGACGGGUGAGUAAUGCCUAGGAAUCUGCCUAGUGGUGGGGGAUAACGUUCGGAAACGGACGCUAAUACCGCAUACGUCCUACGGGAGAAAGCGGGGGAUCUUCGGACCUCGCGCCAUUAGAUGAGCCUAGGUCGGAUUAGCUAGUUGGUGAGGUAAUGGCUCACCAAGGCGACGAUCCGUAACUGGUCUGAGAGGAUGAUCAGUCACACUGGAACUGAGACACGGUCCAGACUCCUACGGGAGGCAGCAGUGGGGAAUAUUGGACAAUGGGCGAAAGCCUGAUCCAGCAAUGCCGCGUGAGUGAUGAAGGCCUUAGGGUUGUAAAGCUCUCUUACCCGAGAUGAUAAUGACAGUAUCGGGAGAAUAAGCUCCGGCUAACUCCGUGCCAGCAGCCGCGGUAAA
This 476-nucleotide ribosomal RNA is filed under the name uncultured bacterium. Its description in RNAcentral is "bacterial SSU rRNA". It matches the Rfam family "Bacterial small subunit ribosomal RNA", at positions 30 to 524 of the family's 1533-position model. The record is from RNAcentral.